GUAAACACUUGGGUUUUAACGUGGUUUCUCAAGCUCUGCAGCGGGAGCCCAAAACGCUUCGAAUGCGCUCGCAUUUGCGUGGGACGAGCGAGACGGUGACCUUCAGCGAGCGAAUCCCUUCCCUCCGCAGCUUCUCCGCCUCGCUCUGCGCGCGCGUUCUCCGGGGCGCGGGGCAGCAAACGCUACGUCCUCGGAGACCAGGAGGAUGCGUGGGCUCUCCGGGAGGCAAGUGGGAGACAUCGCAAACCUGGUGCUUCAGCAGACGGGCCCUUGUUUCCGUGUCUGACCACAAAGAAGCGGCAGAGCACCCCUUCCAAAAUUGCGGCUGGCCGUUGGGCUGAGGCUUGCUGCUGCUGGAUUCGUCAGCGAAGCUGGUGUUGGCUUCUGCCUGAGCAGAAUUGAAGCCCAACUGCUCACACAGGAGCACACAGAGGCUGUAAUUGAAUUCGGAGCUGUGUUGUACCAGGCACCAUAGAAAUACGUAUUAGGAUGCAGUCCCUGAAGAACACGUAGUCAGCUUGAGAACAUGUUCCUGCAAGAAAAAAGUUAUUUGAUGUCUUUUUAUAUCUUAAGAUAUGCAAAGAUGCAAAAUAAAUUGAUGCCAAUGUUAGCAGUGAAAUCUAUUUGAUUUUAUUAAUUUUUAAAUAAUCCAUGUUUUCUUUUCUUUGUUGUUACUAUAUUUUUUCACAUUGUCUAAGUAGUGUGCUGCAUCUUUUGCAAAGUCUGAGGAAGAUUAGUCAAGCAUCUUGAGUUACAGGUCAUUACAGUUUCCUAUGACUACAGAGGUACUUAAUAAAAACAAUUAAACAUUAUGACAGGAUUUUCUGUUGAGGCAUGUAUUGACUCACAACUUUGAACAAGCAGAUUAUUUUUUGGAAAAAAAUCUAGCUUAUUCAAGAAGGAUGAUUGCAGUGGUUCACACUUUCUAAUGUUACAUAGGUCUGAAAAAUGACGCUGGGAUAUCAUUGCUUUGGAUAACAUAAGAAUCACAGCU
Rhea pennata is the source of this 994-nucleotide long non-coding RNA. RefSeq lists it as uncharacterized. Lineage: Eukaryota; Metazoa; Chordata; Aves; Rheiformes; Rheidae. The record is from RefSeq and is a predicted model, not a curated record. The transcript is spliced from 3 exons.